AACAAGGAUUCCCCUAGUAACGGCGAGUGAAGAGGGAAGAGCCCAAGAUUGAAAGCUGGCGCCUUCGGCGUCCGCAUUGUAAUCUCAAGAAGCAUUUUCCGCUUCGGACCAAGCCUAAGUCCCUUGGAAAAGGGCAUCGUAGAGGGUGAGAAUCCCGUACAUGGCUUGGAGCGCCCGAGGCUUUGUGAUAUGCAUUCUAAGAGUCGAGUUGUUUGGGAAUGCAGCUCAAAAUGGGUGGUAAAUGCCAUCUAAGGCUAAAUAUUGGGGAGAGACCGAUAGCGAACAAGUACCGUGAGGGAAAGAUGAAAAGAACUUUGAAAAGAGAGUUAAACAGUACGUGAAAUUGCCAAAAGGGAAGGGUAGGAGGUCAGAGAUGCGGCAUGGGAUUCAGCCUUGCUUUUGCUUGGUGUUUUUCCCAUUUUGCAGGCCAACGUCGGUUUUGGGCACUGGAGAAUGGUGGGAGGAAUGUGGCACUCUUCGGGGUGUGUUAUAGCCUCCUACUGGAUACAGCGACCGGGACCGAGGAACGCAGCGUACUCGAAAGAGCGGGCCUUCGGGCACCUUUACGCUUAGGGCGUUGG
RNAcentral lists this ribosomal RNA (581 nucleotides) under Farysia acheniorum. RNAcentral describes it as "partial large subunit ribosomal RNA". It matches the Rfam family "Eukaryotic large subunit ribosomal RNA", at positions 67 to 629 of the family's 3401-position model. The record is from RNAcentral. Lineage: Eukaryota; Fungi; Basidiomycota; Ustilaginomycetes; Ustilaginales; Ustilaginaceae.